Molecule: non-coding RNA, 805 nt
Organism: Schizosaccharomyces pombe (fission yeast)
Lineage: Eukaryota; Fungi; Ascomycota; Schizosaccharomycetes; Schizosaccharomycetales; Schizosaccharomycetaceae
Source: the annotation of a GenBank genome assembly
UAGGCUCGUCUUAAUAUACCCUACCAUAACGUUGGAACUCCCAUUCACGAUUGUCCAAAGGACAAACAUUCCUAGUGUUUAACCAUCUUGAGAUGCAGUGAAAGUGAAAUGCAUGCUUUUGUAUUUGUUAAAAACAGUCCUGAGCUAAGAAUACGAAAGAAAUCGAAUUAAAACUUACAUUACAAGUUCCCCAUGCCACUGUGCACUCUUGAGCAGCAGCAGAAUCGGUGUUAGCUUGACACUCAAUACAUAAGUCCAUAAUAUGAUUUCUGCAGAUAGCACAGUUAUCUACAACAAUGUCCCAUUGCCAUAAUGCUACAGCAUUCCACUAAAUUGAAGGUAAGCAAUAUGAAUCAGAAGAACUCAUAAAAAAAGCAAAGAGAGUAAACUAGUACUUAAGUGUAUGCUUAUUUUAAAAUAGCAAAUAUAUCUUUGGGUAUUAAUUUUCACAGUUUACUUUGCUUUAUGGCAAAUUUGAUACACAUGAAGAACAUGAUCAUAAAAAUAAUGACGAACCUUUUUAAUUUCAAAUCGAGGAGGUUUUUGUUCAAUUUCCACCUCCUUCUUGUCUAUUUGCAUUUCAUCUUCCAUUGUGAUGAGUAAAAUAGAGCAAAGCCGCUACUUCGUUUUAAGAUGAGAUGUUUAAGCGGUGUGAUAAAGGGGGUUGAAAAUUGCAGCUUCGCUAAGCAAUACUCAAACAUAAGAUAAUUUUUGGAGUAAUGUAAUAAAUUUUGCUAAAACACAAGUAUUUAAUAUAAUAAAUAAUGGAUCAUGGAUCUUUCAAUCGCAAAAUGCGUACUCAAAA